UGUUGACCCAGGAAACAUCGAGAAACAUCGGCUUCCCAAGCUGAAUACGCGGGUUCGAUUCCCGUCAUCGGCUCCA
Molecule: transfer RNA, 76 nt
Filed under: Gordonia phage Horus
Lineage: Duplodnaviria; Heunggongvirae; Uroviricota; Caudoviricetes
Also listed under: 1 other name
Description: tRNA-Gly
Rfam family: tRNA
About the family: Transfer RNA (tRNA) molecules are approximately 80 nucleotides in length. Their secondary structure includes four short double-helical elements and three loops (D, anti-codon, and T loops).
Source: RNAcentral